UAUUAUUAUCUUCAAGAAAUGUUUGCAGCCGCACAUUAACCAUUUUCUCUAGCAGUUUUCCCAAGCAAGACGUUAAACUAAUUGGGCGAUAACUUUGUGCCAGCAACGGAUCUUUUCCAGGUUUCGGUAUAGGAAUGACAACGGCCUGUUUCCAUUCCGAGGGGAGUACAGUGAUGAAACAUCUGGUUGUGGAUUUCGUCUUCUCCCGGUGAACAUGACUUGGUGUUACGGAUAGCGAUAUUCAACUCUUCUAAGACGACCACCACGGAACCAUUUUUGCUUUAUUGCCAGGUUUGGAUUUUGGAAUACUGGCGUUCGCAGCGUCUAAUAUAGCAGAUGUAAGAGUUUUUAAACUUAAGCUAUCUAGGGCUGGAGGGACGAACUUACUUGCAAAAAGUUCCCAAUCUGCUUGUGGGAUCUUAAAUCUAGCCACUGAUCUUAUCGUGGGAUUUUUGCCUCUAACAGAAAUGAUUAUGGGAAAAUGAUCGCUGUGAUGGAGAUCAGUUUCCACCUCCCAUUCAAAAUUACAGUAUAUAUUUGGAGAACAUAUAGAAAGAUCAAUUGCGUCGAAUGUUCCGGAUCUCACGUUGAAAAACGUGACCGAACCGUUAUUCAAGAUACUUAAGUUAUCGUUUUCUAUGAGUUCCAAUAACUCUUUGCCUCGGGCAUCAUUUGAGGUAGAGCCCCAAACAAUGUUGUGGGAAUUGAAAUCUCCGACAAGAACAAAGGGUGUU
Molecule: long non-coding RNA, 734 nt
Organism: Photinus pyralis (common eastern firefly)
Lineage: Eukaryota; Metazoa; Arthropoda; Insecta; Coleoptera; Lampyridae
Exons: 3
Source: RefSeq, a predicted model, not a curated record